GAUGAACGCUGGCGGCGUGCCUAAUACAUGCAAGUCGAGCGAACAGACGAGGCGCUUGCUCCUCUGACGUUAGCGGCGGACGGGUGAGUCACACGUGGAUAACCUCCCUAUAAGACUGGGAUAACUUCGCGAAACCGGCGCUAAUCCCGGAUAAUAUAUUGAACCGCAUGGUUCAAUAGUGAAAUACGGUUUUUCUGUCACUUAUAGCUGCAUCCGGGCCGCAUUAGCUAGUUGGUAAUGUCACGGCUUUUCAAGGCUACGAUGCGUAAACGACGUGAUAGGGGGAUCGGCCACAUGAGAGCUGAGACACGGUCCAGGCGACUGCGAGAGGGAGCAGAAUGGUAUCGGACGCAGUGGUCGAAAGCCUGACGGAGCAACGCCGCGUGAGUGAUGAAGGUCUUCGGAGCGUAAAAAUCUGUUACGAGGGAUGAACAAAUGUGUAAGGAACUAUGCACGGCGUGACGGUACCUAAUCAGAAAGCCACGGCUAACUACGUG
RNAcentral lists this ribosomal RNA (497 nucleotides) under uncultured bacterium. RNAcentral describes it as "partial 16S ribosomal RNA". It matches the Rfam family "Bacterial small subunit ribosomal RNA", at positions 28 to 507 of the family's 1533-position model. The record is from RNAcentral.